UUGUCAACUCUAAGCAAGAGAAAACCUAAAUUCAAGUUGUGCUAUAAGUAGUAGUUUCAAGUUUGCUACAAGUAGUAGUCUCAAGUUGUGUACUAGUAGUAGUUGUGUUGAUGUCAACUCUAAGCAAAAGAAAAUUUAAAUUCAAGUUCUGCUACAAGUAGUAGUAAUAGUAGUAGUAGUUGAUAGUAGUGUUGCAACUCUAAGCAAGAGAAAACCUAAAUUCAAGUUGUGUUACAAGUAGUAUAGUAGUAGUAGU
Arachis ipaensis is the source of this 256-nucleotide non-coding RNA. The record is from RefSeq and is a predicted model, not a curated record. Lineage: Eukaryota; Viridiplantae; Streptophyta; Magnoliopsida; Fabales; Fabaceae.